GCGAACGCUGGCGGCAGGCCUAACACAUGCAAGUCGAACGAACUCUUCGGAGUUAGUGGCGGACGGGUGAGUAACACGUGGGAACGUGCCUUUAGGUUCGGAAUAACUCAGGGAAACUUGUGCUAAUACCGAAUGUGCCCUUCGGGGGAAAGAUUUAUCGCCUUUAGAGCGGCCCGCGUCUGAUUAGCUAGUUGGUGAGGUAAAGGCUCACCAAGGCGACGAUCAGUAGCUGGUCUGAGAGGAUGAUCAGCCACAUUGGGACUGAGACACGGCCCAAACUCCUACGGGAGGCAGCAGUGGGGAAUCUUGCGCAAUGGGCGAAAGCCUGACGCAGCCAUGCCGCGUGAAUGAUGAAGGUCUUAGGAUUGUAAAAUUCUUUCACCGGGGACGAUAAUGACGGUACCCGGAGAAGAAGCCCCGGCUAACUUCGU
This 431-nucleotide ribosomal RNA is filed under the name uncultured bacterium. Its description in RNAcentral is "partial 16S ribosomal RNA". It matches the Rfam family "Bacterial small subunit ribosomal RNA", at positions 29 to 506 of the family's 1533-position model. The record is from RNAcentral.